Molecule: ribosomal RNA, 492 nt
Filed under: uncultured bacterium
Lineage: Bacteria
Description: partial 16S ribosomal RNA
Rfam family: Bacterial small subunit ribosomal RNA
Source: RNAcentral
AGUGAACGCUGGCGGUAGGCCUAACACAUGCAAGUCGAACGGCAGCACAGUAAGAGCUUGCUCGUACGGGUGGCGAGUGGCGGACGGGUGAGGAAUACAUCGGAAUCUACUUUUUCGUGGGGGAUAACGUAGGGAAACUUACGCUAAUACCGCAUACGGCCUACGGGUGAAAGCAGGGGAUCUUCGGACCUUGCGCGAUUGAAUGAGCCGAUGUCUGAUUAGCUAGUUGGCGGGGUAAAGGCCCACCAAGGCGACGAUCCGUAGCCGGUCUGAGAGGAUGAUCAGCCACACUGGAACUGAGACACGGUCCAGACUCCUACGGGAGGCAGCAGUGGGGAAUAUUGGACAAUGGGCGCAAGCCUGAUCCAGCAAUACCGCGUGGGUGAAGAAGGCCUUCGGGUUGUAAAGCACUUUUGUUGGGAAAGAAAAGCAGCAGGUUAAUACCCCGCUGUUCUGACGGUACCCACAGAAUAAGCACCGGCUAACUUCGUG